CGAUGCAGCCCACGGUGCCCAGCUGAGGAGCCGCUGCCCUCCCUACAUCUCCCAUUAGGCUCCUUGAUGAACGGAGCAGCUGACUGGCCUGGGCUGAGGACAGGAGCACGUUGCCCCUGCAAAAAUGGUCGUGAAAGUUAACUCUUCCCCUUCCGCCUCAUUCCAGACUUCCGUGAACGGACCUGCUUUACCCAGCUCCUUGAAAUAGCACAACCGUGCACAAAUGUCAGCCUGGGCAACUCUGCUCCGCCGUGCGAGUGCUAUAUAAAGACUUGAUGUGCAUCCCGGGACGCGAGCCAAUUCCAUGGGAAUGUUUCUGCUCACUGAAAUAGGAUCAAGCCCUGGAAAAACUCAGCAGCUUCUCUCCACAAAGCGAAGGAACUGUUUUUGAAAUAGGGUCGGUGGGAUGCAUCAUUUAGACCUAAAUAAACCAGAGAUUUUCAUUUCUGAUUUUGCAUAGCUAGAUGAGCUCUCUUCAAAGCAUAUUUCAGUUUGGGGAAAAUUUGUUCUCUGUGGCUUUUCUAAAGACUUUCUGUGCUCUUCUGUUGACCAUCCUGCUUUUGUGUAUGGAUUUAGUAUGGUGUUGAAUUUAGUACAUUAUUGAAUUGUUCUGAACAUGUUUUAGUCCCAAGUGAACAUGUAGUAAUAACAGAAGAUCAGAGCCAAGAAAAACACGAAAUUCUGUACAUGUCAGGAGGCAGAAAACACUCACCUUGCUGUGCUUUAAGGAGAAGAAGAAAUUCUCCACGCUUGCACAGCAGCAGUGUGAUCCUAAAUCUGGAUCAGGUCGGCAAUACAAUAUAUCAUAAGUUUCGCUUUGUUAGUUCAUGCAAUCUAGAAUAUAAAAGAAAUUCUGUGAGAUAGCUAUAAAUCCAAAUAUAAAUACUUCUGUAUAGCAAGAAAAAGCAAUUAAGGUAUGAAAAAUCAGGAACUACUAUGAAGAGUUUAAGCAGUAUUUUUUUAAGAAAGGCUCCCCUGUCACUGAGGGGCAAGAAGCUAUUUUGUUAACUUUGUAACAUAAAACUGAAAAAUUGUUAUGAGGAAUGAAAGGCAGCACAACAGCAAAACUGCUGCAGGUGUUUUUCAUAAACAAGUGGUUACUGAUUUCUUUAUAUCUUAUUCGAAAGGUGUUUUAAAAUAUUUCUUAUUUAGUUCUACCUGUAAAACUGGAUGUUGUCUUUCAGCAUGUCUGAACAGUUGUUGCACUAGACUACCCAUGUCCGCGUCGAGCAAAAACAGAAAUGGAAAGUGUUUUUCUUGCUCAUUUGAGAGCAGGUUUGCCCUCCAUCAGUGAGGCAGUCGACAAGUGGCACGGGUCCUGCAGACGUGGUGGAAGGCCUGGUCCUUUGGAUCAAUCAUUCUCAAUUUUUUCCAGUGAAAGCAUGUGACUCUUUGUGGUGAAUUUAGGACCACCAAAAACAGUUUUGCUCUCUUCAGCUGCCUUUCAUGGACCCCCGCAGAGCAGCUCCUGGACCAGAAAGGUCCACAGAGGAGAGCUGCAAAGCCGGAGGUGUUCGGAACGAUUCUGAAGAACGCGAUAGAAAAUUAUCUGCCUUUGAGGUGCCUCAUGUUUCUGUCAUGCCCAUAUGUGCAAACGCUGUUGAACUGACCCGAUAUGAGGCUGGAAGACAGAUGAGCUGAGCCGAGUGAACCGAAAGUUGACUCGCCGAGCUCCCGUGUCUCCUUCAGUGGUACUAAACAUUUUACAAGUAGCCGCAGCGAUGAUGCAUUAAAGCAUUGACGAAGGAGGAAAGGCACCCGGGCAAUGUGAGCGGACGCGUCCCAUGCAUGAAAAGCUCGCGGCCUUGCCAGGGCCGUCAUGAAUUCCAGCCGUGCUCCAUGCGUGCGCCGGCAUCGGGCUGCAGCGACAGCGCCCUGAUCCUUGCGGAGACGCUGAGGCUGUUCCAGGCACUAAUUAAUCUAACGAAUGUGGAGGCCGAGCUGGAGGCAGCCUGAACCAGGGCGAGCGGCCGCUGAGCCCCGUCCCCGCGUGCACGCGCGCGUGCAAGGCAGCUUGCACAGCACCGGUCUGCUCCCGCGCUGCUCUGCCGCCAGGCCAGCAUCCGAGCUUAGGAAAGCCCAGCCUGAGCCGCACCUCUGUGCCGUUGUCAUCGCUGCCACCAGUGACGCUUCCUUCAGUGAUGCCUCUAUCUUCCAGAAGCAUAAACGAUAUUUUACUACACUGCAAGAGAAAAAAGGCUCCCCAUCGACAUGCAGUGUUUUAUAGUUUUGUGAGCUUUCUUUUGUAUUUAGGAUUGUGUUUGUGGGAAGGGAAAAUUGUCCAUAUUUCUUCAAAAGGAGCCAAAAAUGAUCUGGGUGAUGGAUGAUUAAUAAACUGAAGGCCAGGCAACAAAUCUUGACACAGUUUUGGAGGAGCUCUUUCUAUUCUACCGUUCAUGACACCCCAGGGAGUCGUAAAACUCUGCGCUAACAUUGGUUGUCAUUGAAUGCUGGCAAAUAUCCAGAACUGAAAAUCAGAGUGAAUCACAAUUUGUGUCUUUGAAAGAAAGAAGAUCCUCAGUACAUCCAUCUGCUACUGCCCAUAAAUCCAAGUCCGCCUGAAGAAGUCCCGUAUUAAGCAGUCUCACCCUUUGGGUAACUCCUCUCCCUGAAAGAGCUCUCUGCUGUGGAAGUACUGUCAAAACAAAGACACGUUUUAGGUCCAUCAACCUUGACAAUGUCCUCUGACAUUAUUAGCUGAAUCCAUCAGCUAUUAAUGACUGCAAGAUAUAUAGGAUAUACUCCGGUUAGCACUUGGAAAGACUCUCAAUUCAUUUCUAGCUCUAUUUAUUCAUUUAGAUUAAAUGGAGUUAUUAAAGGUCACUACUUCAUUUCCAAAGUAUCAGGUGAAAAUACUUUUCAAUUUAACAGAUAGAGGAGACUGCCUGUAAUAAAAUUAAAUACCAUCUUAACAGUUUCUUUGAUUUUAAAAGGCAUUUACUAAAAGUUUGGCUUUCAUUAACUAAAUCCAGGCGGGGACCAGAGAAAUGGAUGGCGGUGCAUAGUGCUCAAAGGGGAGUUAUUCACUCCAAUAAUGAAUUUGGGGACUUUGGGUUUUCAGAGAACAGCAGCAAGAUUUCUUGUCCUUCUCGGCACUGAAUGACAUGGAAAACCUGGAAGGUAAUAACUACCACGUGUAGACAGGUUUUGUAAUAAAAGAGCCACUCUUUCAUUUUAUGAUCUGAGAUUUACCUGCAAAACACCAGUGACUGAGUCUUCACUGAAAAAUGUUUUCUCUGCCGUCCCUUAAGCCACGGCUGUGCUGGAAGCAUUUUACCUGUAGAUGAUAUUGUUAAAAUGCCUUUGAUGUGGACACAGCAGCACGAAGUAUCGAUACUGGUAUGGUAUAUCCCACAACUUGUUUUCCAGCAGGAAAUAUGAACUGACUUCUGCUGGAAGAUCAGGGUUCACGUUUUUCAUUUCUUGUGACUAAAUGUGCUGUCAGAAGCCUGCACAGGGAUCACUGUGGUUCUGUGAGCCGCCCAGCCGGCUCCGCGUCUCCUAGCCGGUGACUUAGACACGUAUCUCUAUUAAUUCAGGCGGCACAAAGUGGAAGACCCACUGCUUUGCCGUCUGCGAAAUCUGGAAACGCUCGGUGAAUGCUUUGGCUCAGUUUGUUCAAGGCACCUCCAAGCUCCCGCCGUGGGAAUAUGAGAGACCCUUAGUCUAAAGUUAAUCUAAAGCUAGGGCCCAGCAGCGGUGUCGUGCGAUGGCCCUCAGCCCGCCGGCCCGCAGCCCGUCGCAGCCCUCGCGGCACCGCGGAGCAUUGCCCGCUCCCUUCGGAAGCUGCCAAACAGAUGUUGCUACUUGUGCAAAACGCUGCUUUGAGAGUGACCAGAUGUGGUCAGGCAGGUUGUUCCCAGAUGUUCUGCGUGUUGCUUCGGAGUGGAAGAAAAAAGGUGCCGUUAGCAAAAACAGAUAUGCGGAAGACGAGCUGAAUGCCGAAGCGCCACACAGGCCCCUCGGUGAGAUGACACCUGGGAGUUCAGGGUUUUGUGCACUUCCAUUUUGUCAGAACUGCACGUUUAGUUCUGCAAACGCUGCGAUAAAGAAAUCAAACCAUAAUCGAUCAGAUCUCUCUUUAUUUCAUUAAUUCUUGCUACUCAUGAGGAAGCUUUAGCUCUGCAGGAGCCAUGAAUUAAUUUGUGAAGAUGGCUGAGGUCUUAGGACAUGUCUAGGCAUCAUAAACAUGAUGAUAGCAAAUGAGAAGUAUUUCCUCCGAGGUCCAGCUUAAAUAUGAUAAUGUUAUAAAUGUUGUAAGACACUGAAAAUUAGAAUUAAUGAAAAAUACUGGUAAGAGCUUGUUCUGCGGCUUAGAGCAGGACCAACACAACCACAGAAAUUUGAACUAUGUCAAAAUAUUUGCCUUAUGCUGUUUGUCUGCAAUGUGUAUAGCUGGACUGUGCAGAGGGAUCGCAAACCUCUUGCUUACUGUUCUGGCCGGCUCACAGAAACAUCCGGCGAGGCCGGGCCACGCUCUGCGCUUGCAGUGAGUCGCACCGUGGGGCAGGUCGCUGCGGGCAGCGGGACGCGGGAGGGACAAAGCAGCAGCAUCCUCUGGGUAAUCAGCACCUUUCGCAGCCCGGGGCCCUCCGCCUUCCAAAAUCUCUCCCCAGGGAGAGCGCCGGGGCUCCACGCGGCGACUUUCCUUGGCAGGGGCAACCUGGGGACUCCUUAAAAAAGGUGGCUAUAAACUAAAGAUAUUUUUGAAUUGCUGACUUUGUUUCUGAGGCUAAAACUAACUUGCCAAAGACAGAUUUUUUCGUCUAAUGCAAUCUGGCUAGGUGGAUGUUAUAAAUGCUUUGUAUUGCCUAUGGUACAGGUAUCCAAAUGCAUAGCAUUUUCUUUGGCCAAAGUUAGUAAAUAUUUAACAAAAGCCUUGAAAAAGCAUCCUGCUGUGGAUGUCUCACCAGCUGUUGACAAAAACAAACUCUCUGUUAGGAAAGGGUCACUUAAAAUCCAGUAGUAGUAAUAAAGGUCAUCAGGAAAUAAAAACAUAGGCUCCCUGCCAUAAGAAAAAAAGAGAGAAGUUGUGAAUAUGUGCAAUCUAUUUUAGUCAUUUUUAAUGAACAAAUUAAAACAAAGUUAUUAUUUUUGAAGUGGCGCAGCAGGCUUGCAAUGUGUAGUGAAAAACAAGGUGAGAAAAUAUGGGAUAAUCAGUUGUAACCUCAGAAAUAAAGGCAGGUUUUUUACUACACUAAAGAAGUUUAGACUGGAAAUGCUGUUUUGAGUUAUUUGCUUUCUCUGAGAGCUGGAGGAGUAAUUACUGCAAAUGCAGUCACGGCACUAAUCCAUCCGAUGCUCAGAGGCCAAGAUGUUUCAUCAGAUUAAGGGAUUAUAAGAUUUCUAGCAGAUUGGUUAAGGUCACGUCAAAGUUUUGGUGGUUAGAUUUCAGUUUAGUGGUUGCUAGAAGGAAACGAGUGGAGGAUUGCACUUCCAAAGCCGCCGAGCAUUUUGGCCCAUGUACUGCAGGAUUUAACAAUAUCAGCUUGAGAGCAUGUACUCUUUUCUGCAAAGCAAGUAGUUCUUUGGGGUUCUGCAAGUAGGGAGCCAUUUUGUACGUAUUGCAAACCUGGAAUUUCAUGUUAGAGAUGACAGCGGAGGCAGCAGAAGCAGCUCGCCCGCGGAGUGAGGGUAACGCACGGAGGAGUCGCUGCUGGACUCGGCUCCGGGCCGCAGCAAGCAGAGCGGUUUCCACCACCAAAAAUUCGACGUGCAACGCAGGAGCAGAUAAGCCUAAAUUCAGCAUGGAGCAAGAGACGGAGGAUCCUUAAGUCUCAAAGCAUCUGAUGUCCCUUUAUUUAGGGAUUACAUUAAUUCCUGCUUUCAGAUAUGACCAGGAACACGUAUAUUCACUAAUCAGAGUAAAUAGGUGCAUGAGAAACGUGUUGAGAAACACCCGUCUGUUUGGGGGAUGUGUGUGAUCACGGUGACCGUGCGAGUGCCCUUCCCCGGGAAUCGCCCGGCAUCCCGGGUUCCGGCACGCUGCUCGCCGAGGGACCGCUCCGCUCCGCGCGGGCUGGAAGGAGACGUCCUGCCAACAGCGGCGUCGGGACAUGCCGGUGUCAGCAGCGUAAGCGCCGUGCUCCGUGUGUCCCUGCUGAGCAGAGUGUUUGUAAGCAAAAGCUUUUUUUUGUUUGUUUAAAAAAUAUGCUUUGUGAAUGUUUAGGUGCCUGCAGGAACAAUAAAUGACCCUCUCCCGUGUGAGCAGCACCUCUGCCCUGCAGGGAGCCCGUCCGCGGCCACGC
Long non-coding RNA from Dromaius novaehollandiae (emu), 6248 nucleotides. RefSeq lists it as uncharacterized. The transcript has 3 exons. NCBI's taxonomy places the organism in Eukaryota, Metazoa, Chordata, Aves, Casuariiformes, Dromaiidae. The record is from RefSeq and is a predicted model, not a curated record.